GAUGAACGCUGGCGGCGUGCCUAAUACAUGCAAGUCGAGCGAACAGACGAGGAGCUUGCUCCUCUGACGUUAGCGGCGGACGGGUGAGUAACACGUGGAUAACCUACCUAUAAGACUGGGAUAACUUCGGGAAACCGGAGCUAAUACCGGAUAAUAUAUUGAACCGCAUGGUUCAAUAGUGAAAGACGGCUUUGCUGUCACUUAUAGAUGGAUCCGCGCCGCAUUAGCUAGUUGGUAAGGUAACGGCUUACCAAGGCGACGAUGCGUAGCCGACCUGAGAGGGUGAUAGGCCACACUGGAACUGAGACACGGUCCAGACUCCUACGGGAGGCAGCAGUAGGGAAUCUUCCGCAAUGGGCGAAAGCCUGACGGAGCAACGCCGCGUGAGUGAUGAAGGUCUUCGGAUCGUAAAACUCUGUUAUUAGGGAAGAACAAAUGUGUAAGUAACUAUGCACGUCUUGACGGUACCUAAUCAGAAAGCCACGGCUAACUACGUG
This 497-nucleotide ribosomal RNA is filed under the name uncultured bacterium. RNAcentral's name for it is "partial 16S ribosomal RNA". It matches the Rfam family "Bacterial small subunit ribosomal RNA", at positions 28 to 507 of the family's 1533-position model. The record is from RNAcentral.